GCGGUUUGUGUUCCCGACCUCGUAUACGGC
Molecule: small RNA, 30 nt
Filed under: Bombyx mori (domestic silkworm)
Lineage: Eukaryota; Metazoa; Arthropoda; Insecta; Lepidoptera; Bombycidae
Description: ovarian small RNA-16968
Source: RNAcentral